GACGAACGCUGGCGGCGUGCUUAACACAUGCAAGUCGAGCGGUAAGGCCCUUUCGGGGGUACACGAGCGGCGAACGGGUGAGUAACACGUGGGUGACCUGCCCUCAGCUCUGGGAUAAGCCUGGGAAACCGGGUCUAAUACUGGAUAUGACUCCAUGACGCAUGUUGUGGGGUGGAAAGCCUUGUGCGGCUGAGGAUGGGCCCGCGGCCUAUCAGCUUGUUGGUGGGGUGAGGCCUACCAAGGCGACGACGGGUAGCCGGCCUGAGAGGGCGACCGGCCACACUGGGACUGAGACACGGCCCAGACUCCUACGGGAGGCAGCAGUGGGGAAUCUUGCGCAAUGGGCGAAAGCCUGACGCAGCGACGCCGCGUGAGGGAUGACGGGCCU
This 388-nucleotide ribosomal RNA is filed under the name uncultured bacterium. RNAcentral describes it as "bacterial SSU rRNA". It matches the Rfam family "Bacterial small subunit ribosomal RNA", at positions 28 to 418 of the family's 1533-position model. The record is from RNAcentral.